UAGGGAAUCUUCCGCAAUGGGCGAAAGCCUGACGGAGCAACGCCGCGUGAGUGAUGAAGGUCUUCGGAUCGUAAAACUCUGUUAUUAGGGAAGAACAAAUGUGUAAGUAACUAUGCACAUCUUGACGGUACCUAAUCAGAAAGCCACGGCUAACUACGUGCCAGCAGCCGCGGUAAUACGUAGGUGGCAAGCGUUAUCCGGAAUUAUUGGGCGUAAAGCGCGCGUAGGCGGUUUUUUAAGUCUGAUGUGAAAGCCCACGGCUCAACCGUGGAGGGUCAUUGGAAACUGGAAAACUUGAGUGCAGAAGAGGAGAGUGGAAUUCCAUGUGUAGCGGUGAAAUGCGUAGAUAUAUGGAGGAACACCAGUGGCGAAGGCGACUCUCUGGUCUGUAACUGACGCUGAGGCUCGAAAGCGUGGGUAGCAAACAGG
Molecule: ribosomal RNA, 429 nt
Filed under: Bacteroidota bacterium
Lineage: Bacteria; Pseudomonadati; Bacteroidota
Description: Bacteroidetes bacterium partial 16S ribosomal RNA
Rfam family: Bacterial small subunit ribosomal RNA
Source: RNAcentral